UACGAAGGGGGCUAGCGUUGUUCGGAAUCACUGGGCGUAAAGGGCGCGUAGGCGGCCGAUCAAGUCGGGGGUGAAAGCCUGUGGCUCAACCACAGAAUUGCCUUCGAUACUGUUUGGCUUGAGACCGGAAGAGGUAAGUGGAACUGCGAGUGUAGAGGUGAAAUUCGUAGAUAUUCGCAAGAACACCAGUGGCGAAGGCGGCUUACUGGUCCGGUUCUGACGCUGAGGCGCGAAAGCGUGGGAAGCAAACAGG
This 253-nucleotide ribosomal RNA is filed under the name uncultured bacterium. Its description in RNAcentral is "partial 16S ribosomal RNA". It matches the Rfam family "Bacterial small subunit ribosomal RNA", at positions 524 to 776 of the family's 1533-position model. The record is from RNAcentral.